UAAAUAUAUAUUUACUAAUUUUAAUUUUUGUUUUAUUUGAGAAGUAUCUUUGUUUUUAGUAUUUUAUUGAAAAAUUCAUUUUUGUAAUAGUGAACUAGUACUGUGAAGUAACAUUGAAAUAUUUUGAAAGUUUAUUUUUAUAAAAGCAUACUUUUUGUAGUACCUUUUGUAUCAGGGAUGAUUAAUUAUAUUUAAUGUAUAUUGAAA
RNAcentral lists this ribosomal RNA (207 nucleotides) under Hetaerina titia. RNAcentral's name for it is "partial 16S ribosomal RNA". The record is from RNAcentral. Lineage: Eukaryota; Metazoa; Arthropoda; Insecta; Odonata; Calopterygidae.